This 506-nucleotide ribosomal RNA is filed under the name uncultured bacterium. RNAcentral's name for it is "partial 16S ribosomal RNA". It matches the Rfam family "Bacterial small subunit ribosomal RNA", at positions 29 to 523 of the family's 1533-position model. The record is from RNAcentral.
AGUGAACGCUGGCGGUAGGCCUAACACAUGCAAGUCGAACGGCAGCACAGGAGAGCUUGCUCUCUGUGUGGCGAGUGGCGGACGGGUGAGGAAUACAUCGGAAUCUACUCUGUCGUGGGGGAUAACGUAGGGAAACUUACGCUAAUACCGCAUACGACCUACGGGUGAAAGCAGGGGACCUUCGGGCCUUGCGCGAUUGAAUGAGCCGAUGUCGGAUUAGCUAGUUGGCGGGGCAAAGGCCCACCAAGGCGACGAUCCGUAGCUGGUCUGAGAGGAUGAUCAGCCACACUGGAACUGAGACACGGUCCAGACUCCUACGGGAGGCAGCAGUGGGGAAUAUUGGACAAUGGGCGCAAGCCUGAUCCAGCCAUACCGCGUGGGUGAAGAAGGCCUUCGGGUUGUAAAGCCCUUUUGUUGGGAAAGAAAUCCAGCUGGCUAAUACCCGGUUGGGAUGACGGUACCCAAAGAAUAAGCACCGGCUAACUUCGUGCCAGCAGCCGCCGUAA